This 250-nucleotide ribosomal RNA is filed under the name uncultured bacterium. RNAcentral's name for it is "partial 16S ribosomal RNA". It matches the Rfam family "Bacterial small subunit ribosomal RNA", at positions 524 to 773 of the family's 1533-position model. The record is from RNAcentral.
UACGGAGGGUGCAAGCGUUGUUCGGAAUUACUGGGCGUAAAGCGCGUGUAGGUGGUCGAGUAAGUCGAAUGUGAAAGCCCCGGGCUCAACCCGGGAAGUGCAUCCGAAACUGCUCGACUAGAGUCCCGGAGAGGAAGGCAGAAUUCCCAAUGUAGGGGUGAAAUCCGUAGAUAUUGGGAGGAAUACCGGUGGCGAAGGCGGCCUUCUGGACGGUGACUGACACUCAGACGCGAAAGCGUGGGGAGCAAAC